RNAcentral lists this long non-coding RNA (1140 nucleotides) under Solanum tuberosum (potato). Its description in RNAcentral is "long non-coding RNA (STUB_LNC009495)". The record is from RNAcentral. Lineage: Eukaryota; Viridiplantae; Streptophyta; Magnoliopsida; Solanales; Solanaceae.
UGACUUUUCAAAAUGAUGGUCUUCAAAUCAGAAGCAUCAGAAAACAUAUUGAAUUUACCCCUCGAUAGUUGUAGUUGUAUAGAUCUGACAUCUCAUCUAGUAAAUAUAGUAAGUCAACAGCAACAAAGUACUGAUUCAAAACUGAUGUCAACAUCUAGAUGGAAAAAAAUGUUUCAUCAAACUUUCUUAGUUGUAAAUCAGCACAACUACAAAGAAAAAAGACAUUCUUGCAACUCUUCCAAAUCUGUUUGGGUUAAAGGAAUUUUGCAUUUAACUAUCAUUCCAUCUUCACUAACUAUCUAAAGGACAAAAUCAAAUAAAAAAAUACAAUAAACUCACAAGAUUUGUAGAGCGUCGCAGAACUUGAGCGAGUUGUGCAUGACUGCUUAUAAGAGCUUUUAUCUUCUUCAACAAUGCAGCCACAAAUAUUGACACUAUAGCACGAAAAAAUAGUGCAAACUGUCUUAAAGAAAGAUCUCAUCAGAAAAAUGAGAACCAAAUUUAAAAAGAAUAGCUGAAAAGUAGAUGAAACUUACGGAAAUAGCUGGGAAUAUAGACGAAAUCAGGUUCAGUAAUGUGGGAGGAGAUAGUGGUGGGAGUGACGUCUUUGGGAUCGGUGGCAAAAGGGAUGGUUGGGUUUGGGGACAAUUCCAGUUGUUGGGGAUGAUCGUAACAUGUAUACUCAAUAUACUCGAUAUGGUUAGUCAAUCGAUAAAGUGAAACAACCUUAUGGUGCUACUUCUAAUCCUACACAGGCUGAUGACGCGACAAGAAAGAACAGUUCAUCAUCAAACAAGUUGAAAACACCACAUUUCUCCAAUAUCACCACCUUAUAACAUAGAAACAAAUAUCAUAUCUCUCAAAUUUACCAGAUUCACUUACAACUAACAAAAAUCAAUUAAGAAGUUAAUCUAUCCAACCAAAAAAUCAAUUACUAGCAAGUUAUUCUCUAUGUAAACCUUAUUUAAUUAGAUUAUCCAUAUUGAAACCCUAAAGAAUCGAAGUUUAGGGGAAAUCCAAAAAGUACAAUAGUUAUAAACCUUAGAAAGAGCUGAAGCUUCUCCAUGGUGCAGGACGUAGGGCAACGAGCCUAUUGGAGCAUUCUUUUACUCCAAAAUCGGCGAAGAUAUUGCAGAUUUU